GCAUCUCAUCUCUCUGUUGCCGACUAUAGGUUUCUAGCUCCACGGACCACGGUCGGAAUUGGAAGCCAAUUUGUUCUCCUUCAAAAAAUAGAAGCACAAGCCAAAAACGUCAUAUCAUCUCUCUAUUGCCGACUACAGCUUUCCAGUUCCACGGACCACGGUCGGAAUUAGAAGGCAAUUUGAAGGACUCUCGUCUCUCUGCUGCCGACUAUAGGUUUCCAGCUCUACGGACCACGGUCGAAAUUGGAAGGAAAUUUGAAGGAGUCUCAUCUCUCUGUUGCCGACUACAAGUUUCCAGCUCCACAAGCCAAACUACUCCAUAAAAAUAGGGAAGAAUUUGGUCUCUACCGAUUUGGUCUCUGCUGACUACUUAAAGCAGAAACACAAGCCGAACCAGGACCUGGGAAACUCAGUUUCGAUCUGGUAUUAAGACCAUAGCUUUGAUUGCUGUUAGAGAAGGUGUUAUUCAGUUGGGAGCUAUUGAUAAGGUCAUCCUUCUCUUUCACUCUUCAUCAUACCCUUGCAAUGUUGACACAUAAGGAUUCCACAUCAAAGGUUCCAGCAUGUCAAGAAGCUUAGCUGUCAUCUCUUGUAAUUGUAACUUCCUUUAACAUAAUCUGUUAGGAUAUUUUCUCCCAUUCUGUCUUUGUUUUCUCCAGCUUCCUCAAGGUAUAAAGAAAUGCAGCUUGUUAGAAUUCAUUUUGUCAAACUUCUUCUUCACCUCUCAAAGCUCUGCAUUGUCUUCCCCAUGUUUCCCAACAUGGUAUCAGAGCCAUGAAGCUGUGGCUUGGUGUACACUUGCAGCGAAUAUGGUUCGGACAUCAGUAGCACCUAAUCCAAUGUUACAAGCUGAAGGAGGUUGUUGAUAAAUUAAAGAAUGUUUUUAUUGAGAAAAUAGCAAUUGAAAAACUCCCUAGUUGUGUUAAGUUUCAUGACAUACAAUUCUCUACUUGUAGGUUAGAAGGUAGUUCAGCUUAAGGAGUCAUAAAUCAAAAUCAAUGUUUAGAAGUAGUUAGUGUUUGUACUAGAACAGCAGUUAGUUCAGAUAGGUUGAAGACUCAAAGACUAGAGAACUGAAGAGUAUGGAGAUCGUUCUCUGCACUAGAUACUACACUAGUACAGUCAAGAUGUUCAGGAACGGUUAUUUUGUUACAACUACUUCAAGGUUUCGGCAUCUUUAAAUACCAACUCAGUCUCACAAAUUGGGUUGUUGAGAUUACGAAGACAAAAUUCAUAGAGUAUACUCUGAUAGAGCUAAAAUGAUAUCUUGACAAAGCCUACCUUUGAUUCAAGAUUAGAAAUCUCUUUACGAGAAGAUGGGUAAGAAUUCACUCUGGAUGAGCAAGGAGCGCUGUUGUUGAGGGAGAGCCUCAACACAAAGAGAUCGGGAGAUCGGACAUUUGACAACUCUUCAAGGUCAAACUCAAGGAUAAAGAUUUGACGAAGAUCCUGUAGCUUGCCGUGUGAACUCAAUUGUAUUGGUGCAUCUUUUACCGAUUGAUUCAAUGGAGAGUUGGGCGACCAGAGUGAAGCCCCCGAGAUGUAGGAACUGUGUUUCCGAACUGGGUUACCAAUUUACAGGAGUUCUUUACUGCUUUUUUUGUAUGCUUUAUUUCUAGCAAAUUAAAUCCCUGCCCUACUAGCUGAACUAGUUCGUAAAACAGUUGGUGAGAUUCUGUUGAACUUAGCAACUAUUUUCAAUAAACAGAAUUUCUCCUAA
Ipomoea triloba (trilobed morning glory) is the source of this 1720-nucleotide long non-coding RNA. RefSeq lists it as uncharacterized. The transcript has 3 exons. NCBI's taxonomy places the organism in Eukaryota, Viridiplantae, Streptophyta, Magnoliopsida, Solanales, Convolvulaceae. The record is from RefSeq and is a predicted model, not a curated record.